Molecule: small RNA, 411 nt
Filed under: Pongo abelii (Sumatran orangutan)
Lineage: Eukaryota; Metazoa; Chordata; Mammalia; Primates; Hominidae
Description: processed transcript
Source: RNAcentral
AAACCCCGAGCGCGGCGGCGUCCGGAGGGCAGCGGCGGCGGCGGCGGCGGCGUCUCGGCGACGGUUCCCUGGGCGCCCCCGGCUCCUGCUCCCUGAGCCCGCCUUAGACCAGAACACUGCGGAAGAGGAAAUCCAUCAUGGAAACCCGAGAGUGACAGGACCCUUGCUUGGUGACAAGGAGAGCUGGUCAUGUCGACAGCCCUCUCUUACCUCGUCCCGUCUCAGCAGAUGUCCAUGGGGUCGUAUUGGGAGUGACUUUUGUACCAGUUGGCUUGGCUGAUUUUGGAAAGAGCGGAAGAACCCCCGUUCACCUUGGUUUCAUCACCUUAAAUGGUUUUGAACCAAUGAAGCUAUAUUCCCUUAAAAAGACGGACAGCCCAUCGUGUGAACUAUAGAGUUUGUGGACAGAUU